UGNGUUGAGCAUGCCAAGUAGUAAUG
This 26-nucleotide non-coding RNA is filed under the name Mus musculus (house mouse). The record is from RNAcentral. Lineage: Eukaryota; Metazoa; Chordata; Mammalia; Rodentia; Muridae.